This 257-nucleotide long non-coding RNA is filed under the name Prunus persica (peach). RNAcentral describes it as "long non-coding RNA (PPER_LNC008751)". Lineage: Eukaryota; Viridiplantae; Streptophyta; Magnoliopsida; Rosales; Rosaceae. The record is from RNAcentral.
CACAUUAGAGAUUGAAGAUUCGAAUGAACACAAAAAAUCUACCAAAACAUGAAUCAAAAAAACUGAACCGAUACAACAAUACCUGUCUGUAGCGUGAGCUAGGGUUGGAUACAUAAAAGGCUUGGAGUGGCCAAUUUGAUUGGAAAAACUAUGAGAGUUUAAAUUAGAGAUUGAGGAUUCAAAUGGACACAAAAGAUCUGCCAAAACAUGAAUAAAAAAAAUUGAACAUAUUCAACAAUACCCGCCUGUAUCGGGAG